RNAcentral lists this ribosomal RNA (433 nucleotides) under uncultured bacterium. RNAcentral describes it as "partial 16S ribosomal RNA". It matches the Rfam family "Bacterial small subunit ribosomal RNA", at positions 29 to 507 of the family's 1533-position model. The record is from RNAcentral.
AACGAACGCUGGCGGCAUGCCUAACACAUGCAAGUCGAACGAGACCUUCGGGUCUAGUGGCGCACGGGUGCGUAACGCGAGGGAACCUUCCCUUAUGUUCGGCAUAACUCCCCGAAAGGGGUGCUAAUACCGGAUAAUGUCUUCUAACCCAAGAUUUAUCGCCUUUGGUUGGGCCCGCGUGGGAUUAGCUAGUUGGUAGGGUAAAAGCCUACCAAGGCGACGAUCCCUAGCUGGUCUGAGAGGAUGAUCAGCCACACUGGGACUGAGACACGGCCCAGACUCCUACGGGAGGCAGCAGUGGGGAAUAUGGGACAAUGGGCGAAAGCCUGAUCCAGCAAUGCCGCGUGAGUGAUGAAGGCCUUAGGGUUGUAAAGCUCUGUUACCCGGGAUGAUAAUGACAGUACCGGGAGAAUAAGCGCCGGCUAACUACGUG